Molecule: ribosomal RNA, 441 nt
Filed under: uncultured Alphaproteobacteria bacterium
Lineage: Bacteria; Pseudomonadati; Pseudomonadota; Alphaproteobacteria
Description: bacterial SSU rRNA
Rfam family: Bacterial small subunit ribosomal RNA
Source: RNAcentral
AACGAACGCUGGCGGCAGGCCUAACACAUGCAAGUCGAGCGAGAAGCUUCCUUCGGGAAGUGGACAGCGGCGGACGGGUGAGUAACGCGUGGGAACGUACCUUGGAGUACGGAAUAGCCCUUAGAAAUGAGGAGUAAUACCGUAUACGCUCGAAAGAGGAAAGAUUAAUCGCUCCAAGAUCGGCCCGCGUUAGAUUAGCUUGUUGGUGAGGUAAAAGCUCACCAAGGCUCCGAUCUAUAGCUGGUCUGAGAGGAUGAUCAGCCACACUGGGACUGAGACACGGCCCAGACUCCUACGGGAGGCAGCAGUGGGGAAUAUUGGACAAUGGGGGCAACCCUGAUCCAGCCAUGCCGCGUGGGUGAAGAAGGCCCUAGGGUUGUAAAGCCCUUUCAUCUGUGACGAUGAUGACGGUAGCAGAAGAAGAAGCACCGGCUAACUUCG